Long non-coding RNA from Nomascus leucogenys (northern white-cheeked gibbon), 614 nucleotides. RefSeq lists it as uncharacterized. NCBI's taxonomy places the organism in Eukaryota, Metazoa, Chordata, Mammalia, Primates, Hylobatidae. The transcript is spliced from 3 exons. The record is from RefSeq and is a predicted model, not a curated record.
CCUGCUGGGCUAGGGACUUAGGUUUUGGUUUGAGCAUGGAAAAGAUUCAUUCACAGAAACUCCGCUGCCUUCCUGAGGCAAUGAUCCUGAUCCACUAACCAGCUGCUCUCGCUGGGGCUGGGGGAGUGCAGGGGGCUUUGCUCGCCUUGAAGGGCUGGUGGAAGGAUUCCUCCUCAGCUUCUCCCUUUUCCCCGGGCUCAGAUCCCACCAGGACUGCAACCCUUAGCCCUGUCUGGUCUCCCCUGCAACCCUUGAGGCCACCCUGGAGGCUCAGCCAUCCAUUCACCCCAGGUGCCAUCUAAACUGGUUUCUGGUGGAUGAGAAGAAGCUAGCUCUGGGAAGAGGGUUCCAGGCAGACAGAACAACCGUGCAAAGCCAGUAGCCUGAGAGCUAUCGGGGGAUGGACAGAUGUCAGAGGGCCCUGCAGUCUACACAGCUGUGUGGAGCACCGUGCAGAAGCCGAGGGCCUGGUCCCCAGCCCUUGAAGCCUGGACCUGGGAGCUCAGGACUUCCUCCCUCUUGAAGUGGUGGGUGAGCCCUGGAUAUUUUACCUGAACGUGACACAGGGCCGGGGGAGGGAACUGUGAGAAGAGGAGAGAGUUUAGGAACUUUCU